AACACACGGGACUGUAGGA
This 19-nucleotide unclassified non-coding RNA is filed under the name Mus musculus (house mouse). RNAcentral's name for it is "oocyte_clustered_small_RNA459". The record is from RNAcentral. Lineage: Eukaryota; Metazoa; Chordata; Mammalia; Rodentia; Muridae.